Molecule: ribosomal RNA, 253 nt
Filed under: uncultured bacterium
Lineage: Bacteria
Description: partial 16S ribosomal RNA
Rfam family: Bacterial small subunit ribosomal RNA
Source: RNAcentral
UACGUAGGGUGCGAGCGUUGUCCGGAAUUAUUGGGCGUAAAGAGCUCGUAGGCGGCUUGUCGCGUCGGUUGUGAAAGCCCGGGGCUUAACCCCGGGUCUGCAGUCGAUACGGGCAGGCUAGAGUUCGGUAGGGGAGAUCGGAAUUCCUGGUGUAGCGGUGAAAUGCGCAGAUAUCAGGAGGAACACCGGUGGCGAAGGCGGAUCUCUGGGCCGAUACUGACGCUGAGGAGCGAAAGCGUGGGGAGCGAACAGG